ACGGGCAUAGCUCAACGGUAGAGCGCUUGCUUUCUAAGCAAGAGGUAGCUUGUUCAAUUCAGCAACCCGGGUCA
This 74-nucleotide transfer RNA is filed under the name Acidovorax sp. SD340. RNAcentral's name for it is "tRNA-Arg". It matches the Rfam family "tRNA". From Rfam's summary of the family: Transfer RNA (tRNA) molecules are approximately 80 nucleotides in length. Their secondary structure includes four short double-helical elements and three loops (D, anti-codon, and T loops). Further hydrogen bonds mediate the characteristic L-shaped molecular structure. tRNAs have two regions of fundamental functional importance: the anti-codon, which is responsible for specific mRNA codon recognition, and the 3' end, to which the tRNAs corresponding amino acid is attached (by aminoacyl-tRNA synthetases). tRNAs cope with the degeneracy of the genetic code in two manners: having more than one tRNA (with a specific anti-codon) for a particular amino acid; and 'wobble' base-pairing, i.e. permitting non-standard base-pairing at the 3rd anti-codon position. Lineage: Bacteria; Pseudomonadati; Pseudomonadota; Betaproteobacteria; Burkholderiales; Comamonadaceae. The record is from RNAcentral.